AGAAAUUCAUGGAUAAUAAAAAAGCUUCUAACUUUUCUUAUGGUGGUUCAAUUCCACUAAUUUCUU
Molecule: transfer RNA, 66 nt
Filed under: Theromyzon tessulatum
Lineage: Eukaryota; Metazoa; Annelida; Clitellata; Rhynchobdellida; Glossiphoniidae
Description: tRNA-Ser
Source: RNAcentral